This 253-nucleotide ribosomal RNA is filed under the name uncultured bacterium. RNAcentral describes it as "partial 16S ribosomal RNA". It matches the Rfam family "Bacterial small subunit ribosomal RNA", at positions 524 to 776 of the family's 1533-position model. The record is from RNAcentral.
UACGUAGGGGGCAAGCGUUGUCCGGAUUUAUUGGGCGUAAAGAGCGUGUAGGCGGCCAGACAGGUCAGCUGUGAAAACUCGAGGCUCAACCUCGAGACGUCGGUUGAAACCGUUUGGCUAGAGUCCGGAAGAGGAGAGUGGAAUUCCCGGUGUAGCGGUGAAAUGCGCAGAUAUCGGGAAGAACACCAGUGGCGAAGGCGGGUCUCUGGACAGUUCCUGACACUGAGGCACGAAGGCCAGGGGAGCAAACGGG